This 615-nucleotide ribosomal RNA is filed under the name Helotiales sp. JCM 28429. RNAcentral describes it as "eukaryotic LSU rRNA". It matches the Rfam family "Eukaryotic large subunit ribosomal RNA", at positions 38 to 667 of the family's 3401-position model. The record is from RNAcentral. Lineage: Eukaryota; Fungi; Ascomycota; Leotiomycetes; Helotiales.
GCAUAUCAAUAAGCGGAGGAAAAGAAACCAACAGGGAUUACCUCAGUAACGGCGAGUGAAGCGGUAACAGCUCAAAUUUGAAAUCUGGCCCUUUCAGGGUCCGAGUUGUAAUUUGUAGAAGAUGCUUCGGGUGUGGCUCCGGUCUAAGUUCCUUGGAACAGGACGUCAUAGAGGGUGAGAAUCCCGUAUGUGACUGGCAGCCUUCGCCCAUGUGAAGCUCUUUCGACGAGUCGAGUUGUUUGGGAAUGCAGCUCUAAAUGGGUGGUAAAUUUCAUCUAAAGCUAAAUAUUGGCCAGAGACCGAUAGCGCACAAGUAGAGUGAUCGAAAGAUGAAAAGCACUUUGGAAAGAGAGUUAAACAGUACGUGAAAUUGUUGAAAGGGAAGCGCUUGCAACCAGACUUGCAUGCCGUCGAUCAUCCUCCGUUCUCGGGGGUGCACUCGGCGGCGUUCAGGCCAGCAUCGGUUUCGGUGGUGGGAUAAAGGCCUUGGGAACGUAGCUCCUCUCGGGGAGUGUUAUAGCCCUCGGUGCAAUGCCGCCUACCGGGACCGAGGACCGCGCUUCGGCUAGGAUGCUGGCGUAAUGGUUGUAAGCGACCCGUCUUGAAACACGGACC